This is a transfer RNA of Hypholoma sublateritium FD-334 SS-4, 102 nucleotides long. It matches the Rfam family "tRNA". From Rfam's summary of the family: Transfer RNA (tRNA) molecules are approximately 80 nucleotides in length. Their secondary structure includes four short double-helical elements and three loops (D, anti-codon, and T loops). The record is from Rfam. NCBI's taxonomy places the organism in Eukaryota, Fungi, Basidiomycota, Agaricomycetes, Agaricales, Strophariaceae.
GGCAACGUGGCCGAGUGGUCUAAGGCGCUGGAAUUAGGUCAUCCGUUUAGGAAAGCUUCUAUCCAGUCCGAAAGGGCGCGAGUUCGAACCUCGCCGUUGUCA